This 2323-nucleotide long non-coding RNA is filed under the name Homo sapiens (human). Its description in RNAcentral is "HSALNT0385567". Lineage: Eukaryota; Metazoa; Chordata; Mammalia; Primates; Hominidae. The record is from RNAcentral.
CAACCCUCCCGCGCAGGCCAUAAGAGGCAAAUGAACCUUUGUUGGUUGGCGGGAAAUCGAGACCCUGGCAAGGGGGCUUCUCCCUUGGAGAAGCCUGAGAACUGCCAGGUCCGCGGCCGUUAACCCGCCUCUAGGGACGGCCGCACUGCGCAUGUCUGAAAGGGAACUAGAAAGGGAGGAGCGAGAGAGGGUGGGGCUGAGGAGGAGGCUGUGUGAGAAAAGGGGCGGGGCGCGCCCAAAGUCUGGCGGAAGAGCGUUACCCUGGCAACCCUCCCGCGGAGGCCGAGAGAGGCCACCGGCCCUUUGUUGAUCUGCGAGAAAUCAAACUACGAACACGACAAGCAUUAGCCUGCAGCUCGAGGAGACAAGGAAUAAAUCCAACUUGAUCAUAACAUCCAACUGUGUUGCCCAGGCUAGUCUCAAACUCCUGGAUUCAAGAGCCCCUCUCCUCUCAGCCUACGAAAGUGCUGGGAUUAAAGUUUCCCCCAAGGUCACAGAAUUAUCCAGGCCAACCAAUAACACCUCCUGUGGGAACCAGGAGCAUCUCACCCUCUUGAUACUACAAAGCCUUCCCCGACACCUCCUGUUUGUUCUCUCUGCUCCCAGUCCUGAACUGACAGCCACAAGUGGCACCUGAACAGGGACUUGAACAAAGAAGGUCUGCUGGAGCAGAAAAAGUGAAACUGACCAGAUGAAUGAGAAACCCUGGGAUGAGUCUGCCUGCAGAGGAUAUAAGGAGAUGGAUAAACCGUGUGAGUGCCCUCAAGUUGUGUGCGACCAUGGAAUGGGAGACUGGAGGGAUACAUGGAUCCCAACUACAGGCCCAGCUCCUCCAGUAUGAGCCAUGAGCCAGUUGAAUCUGAAUGUGAAGAUGGAAUGAAGACCGACGAGAGUCACACUGACGUCAACCCUCAUAACAUGGGGUCAGAUCAAGAAAACCACACCAGAAGCUGAGAAACUGGUGUAGUGCCAGGGUCAGGCAAAAACCCCUGACUCCAUGUUUAUGGCCAUGCUAGCUGUAAUAUCCUGUGCAGUAUGAUUUUUCUGUGCAGAAGCAAAAACAUAUUGGGCAUAUUUUCCUAACCCACCGGUAGUGUGAUCAUACUCUGAAGCAGCACUCCUCCUGAGAUAUAUCAUGAUCAAGGAGCAUCAGUACCAGGACCUCUAACUCCCCCUGACACAGAGCAAUUAGACUCUCAUAACAAUGGUAUCAAUUAUACCACUCCAUUGGAGGGACUUCCUUUAUGUGUCACCCAGGAUACAUUGCUCAACUGCAGUUGCCUUGCAGUUUGAUCCCAAGCAUGGUUGAGUUACCAUUAAAAAAUUAUGUACCUAUUAGACCUUAGCUUUAUUAAUAUUACUUGUGUAGUUACUAAUCACUCCUGGCCCCAUCACCCAAAUUGUACUGAUUAUACAGAAUGGGCUCCCUUUGAUAAUUCUCACCCCCCUCCUUGGGCCCACUGUCUUGGCCCCUUAGCUAGACAAUAGUCCAUGUUAAUGGGAGACAUUAUUGACUGGGGUCCCUGUGGUCAUUAAGAUGGGAGAGAUGAGAAUCAGACCACAUGGCAUAAACUUCACUGGCACUGGUGGCGAAACUUUAACAUCUCUUCACUUCAACACACUGGGAUUCAAUCCCAAUCUGCCAUGCAACUUGCUUGGCAUGGAACGGGCUUUAGCCCACCUUUGCCUCAAUGGCAUUAUCAAGGAAAGAGAGGUCCAAUUCAGGAGUCUAUGUGGAAGGCAGCACUCCCAUAUAUGAAUGGCAGCAUUUGGGUUGGGACACUAUCCAAUAAUAGUAAUAGUGCUCAAUACAGUUUAAUGUUACCUUUGUAAAAAAUGUUUGAAAUUUGUGUUUUUAAUCCCUAUGUUUUUCUAGCAGCAAAAAAGGACCAACUCCAGGUAAACAAUGCCCAAUUGAAUUGUGAUUCCUGUCAACUCUAUCAUUGCCUUAAUCAUAGCACAAUACAAACACACAGCAUAUCCACCCUAAUAAUUCUAGGUCGCAUUCCUGGAUUAUGGAUUCCUGUAAAUCUAUCUGAGCCUUGGGCAGCCACCCCCACUUUACAUUUUGUAAAACUUCUUACUCAGCUUACUCAUGGCACUCGUAGAGCCUUAGGCAUGAUAAUUUUUACUAUAGUCUCCUUAAUUACAUUAAUACCCUCUGUUGUGGUGUCCUCAGUAGCACUGGACAGCUCCACUCAAACAGCUCAAUAUGCAGAAAAUUGGAUGCAUACAGCUGACCAGGCAUGGAUGUUUCAAAAUAAAACUAACACUGAGAUACAAACAGAAGUGGCAAUGUUAAAGACUACUGUUCUGUGGCUAG